Desmophyllum pertusum is the source of this 74-nucleotide non-coding RNA. The record is from the annotation of a GenBank genome assembly. NCBI's taxonomy places the organism in Eukaryota, Metazoa, Cnidaria, Anthozoa, Scleractinia, Caryophylliidae.
UUCUCCAUACAGUGGUAGAGCGAGCGUCCGACCAGUGUGCGGAAGGUCAUAGGUUCGACUCCUGUUGGGAGAAU